UAGGGAAUCUUCCACAAUGGACGCAAGUCUGAUGGAGCAACGCCGCGUGAGUGAAGAAGGUUUUCGGAUCGUAAAGCUCUGUUGUGGGUGAAGAAGGAUAGAGGUAGUAACUGGCCUUUAUUUGACGGUAAUCAACCAGAAAGUCACGGCUAACUACGUGCCAGCAGCCGCGGUAAUACGUAGGUGGCAAGCGUUGUCCGGAUUUAUUGGGCGUAAAGCGAGCGCAGGCGGAAGAAUAAGUCUGAUGUGAAAGCCCUCGGCUUAACCGAGGAACUGCAUCGGAAACUGUUUUUCUUGAGUGCAGAAGAGGAGAGUGGAAUUCCAUGUGUAGCGGUGGAAUGCGUAGAUAUAUGGAAGAACACCAGUGGCGAAGGCGACUCUCUGGUCUGCAACUGACGCUGAGGCUCGAAAGCAUGGGUAGCGAACAGG
RNAcentral lists this ribosomal RNA (429 nucleotides) under Bacillota bacterium. RNAcentral's name for it is "Firmicutes bacterium partial 16S ribosomal RNA". It matches the Rfam family "Bacterial small subunit ribosomal RNA", at positions 355 to 776 of the family's 1533-position model. The record is from RNAcentral. Lineage: Bacteria; Bacillati; Bacillota.